ACUGUAUUCCUUAAGCAUGACUUUCCCUUUUGAAGUACUUGUUUGUGGAACAGACAUAAUGAGUGUGGAUCGGACCCAGCCUCUUCUCCUGCAAUAUCUAUAAGAGAGGAAACUAGACUAUAUUGUAAAAUGGACCUGGAAAAGCUUGAAAAUGUGAAGAGGAUUGAACUGGCUGGCAUCUGUGCAUCUUCAUCUAUGAAAACACUCCUCAUAGACUUAAAACAAAUGACAGAGAACAAAUUAGUCAGCUUCUUCUAAAAUACAGUGGCCUCCCCUUAUCCUCAGUUUCACUUUCUGCAGUCAACUGCAGUCCGAAAAUGCUACAUACAAUUAGAUAUUCGGAGAGAGAGACACCACAUUUACAUAAAUGUUAUUUCAGUAUAUUGUUAUAAUUGUUCUAUUUUUAUCAUUAGUUGUUGUUACUGUGCCUAACUUAUACAUUAAACUUUAUCACAGGUAUGUAUGUAUAGGAAAAAACAUAGAUUAUAUAGGAUUGGUACUAUCCAUAGUUUCAGGCAUCCACUGGGGGUCUUGGAAUGUAUCCCCCUCAGAUAAGGAGGGACUACCGUAAACAGAAAAUAACAACAAUUCAAAUUGUUAAAAACUGAAUUCUUGAAAGUUAUCCUUUACAAUAGAUUAAUAUAUAUGAUCUGAGCUGAAAGAAUGGCAAGCAAUGGAGACGACAUUUCUCUUCUGUUUCUAGUAGAUAUUUUCAAUUUUAAGCAUAGUUUUAAAAAAAAUACAACCCUCUUUUAAGGGCUUAAACCAAGGUGGCUGUGCUGAUUGGCUUAGCUGGCUAGUUCACAGUGCCACGGACAAGGUUUCAAUCUCAUUCUUCUCAGUUGUCCUGACAGAGAUUGUUCUUUCAGACCAGGCCAGCCAUUUGACAGAUGUAAGCCACUGGCCUCAAGGAACACAAGCCAGACAGUGGUGGUCAGUGCAAACCUUGAGCAUCAUUGGAAAAAUUAAGUAGGUGUCCUACUGCAUCAUUUCCAUAUACAGAAAACCAUAGAAAUACAUCCUAUUUUUUAAGAGUUGUUUUUCAGCUAUUAAUACCUAUGAGGUUUAAAAAUAUUUUCAGAGAAAAAAAAUUUAGCAACUAGAAUUUACAAUGCUACCAUUUACUAUCAUUAUUUGUUCUUCACUUCAUUUGCCACCUUACCAGAGAAUUCCUUGCCACUCUCCUCUCCUUAAUCUGCUUAUUUUUAUUCUUAGUACUUUCCACUAACUGAUGUUAUAUUAAAUAUUUAUUUGGUGUCUGCCUCUCCCAACUAGAAUGUGAGCUACCUGACAGAGCAAGGACAUAGCUUGGUAUGUGUUUCUGGUAUAUCUUUAGGGCCCAGAACAGGGCCUGGCACACCCACAACUGCUAAAUAAACUUUUGAUGAAUUCUGUCACAUAUUUAUUACAGGAGCUUAAUUCAUAAAUAUCUUUAACAGGACAUCAAAAACAGUAGAUCAUUUAUAAGCCAAGAAUAUACUGCUAACUAUUGAACCAGAAUGUAUUUGUUGUCUAUAGGCAGCAGCCUAUAUAGCAAAAGAACUCAAGACUUUUGACAUGGCCUUCCAUGUUUCAAGGGUGCAACAUCUUCACUAUUUAUUUCCAUGGGAUCAGUCAAUGUGAAUGACAAACAUUUAGACACUGAACGCAGGGCAGUGGGACUGGCUAUUCAACUCAUCUUCAGUAAUAAAAUCUAAAAUUAUCAAAA
Macaca mulatta (Rhesus monkey) is the source of this 1708-nucleotide long non-coding RNA. RefSeq lists it as uncharacterized. NCBI's taxonomy places the organism in Eukaryota, Metazoa, Chordata, Mammalia, Primates, Cercopithecidae. The record is from RefSeq and is a predicted model, not a curated record.